This 492-nucleotide ribosomal RNA is filed under the name uncultured bacterium. RNAcentral describes it as "partial 16S ribosomal RNA". It matches the Rfam family "Bacterial small subunit ribosomal RNA", at positions 29 to 507 of the family's 1533-position model. The record is from RNAcentral.
AGUGAACGCUGGCGGCAGGCCUAACACAUGCAAGUCGAACGGCAGCACAGUAAGAGCUUGCUCUUACGGGUGGCGAGUGGCGGACGGGUGAGGAAUACAUCGGAAUCUACUUUUUCGUGGGGGAUAACGUAGGGAAACCUACGCUAAUACCGCAUACGACCUACGGGUGAAAGCAGUGGAUCUUCGGACCUUGCGCGAUUGAAUGAGCCGAUGUCGGAUUUGCUAGUUGGCGGGGUAAAGGCCCACCAAGGCGACGAUCCGUAGCGGGUCUGAGAGGAGGAUCAGCCACACUGGAACUGAAACACGGUCCAGACUCCUACGGGAGGGAGCAGUGGGGAAUAGUGGACAAUGGGCGCAAGCCUGAUCCAACCAUACCACGUGGGUGAAGAAGGCCUUCGGGUUGUAAAGCCCUUUUGUUGGGAAAGAAAAGCAGCAGGUUGAUACCCCGCUGUUCUGACGGUACCCAAAGAAUAAGCACCGGCUAACUUCGUG